This 465-nucleotide ribosomal RNA is filed under the name uncultured bacterium. RNAcentral describes it as "partial 16S ribosomal RNA". It matches the Rfam family "Bacterial small subunit ribosomal RNA", at positions 338 to 795 of the family's 1533-position model. The record is from RNAcentral.
CCUACGGGUGGCAGCAGUGGGGAAUAUUGCUCAAUGGGCGCGAGCCUGAAGCAGCGACGCCGCGUGAGGGAUGACGGUCUUCGGAUCGUAAACCUCUGUCAGCAGGGAAGCACGGUCACUGUGCUAAUCAGCAGUGAAUUGACGGUACCUGCAAAGGAAGCACCGGCUAACUCCGUGCAAGCAGCCGCGGUAAUACGGAGGGUGCGAGCGUUAAUCGGAAUUACUGGGCGGAAAGCGCUCGUAGGCGGUAUGGAUAGUCAAGGGUGAAAUCCCCGCGCGCAACGUGGGAACGGCCUUUGAAACUGGCAAACUGGAGUGUGUGAGAGGAUAGUGGAAUUCCAGGUGUAGGAGUGAAAUCCGUAGAUAUCUGGAGGAACAUCAGUGGCGAAGGCGACUAUCUGGCAUAUAACUGACGCUGAGGAGCGAAAGCGUGGGUAGCAAACAGGAUUAGAUACCCCUGUAGUC